GCGCAGCCGGAUGAGCCGAUGUCGGAUUAGCUAGUUGGCGGGGUAAGAGCCCACCAAGGCGACGAUCCGUAGCUGGUCUGAGAGGAUGAUCAGCCACACUGGGACUGAGACACGGCCCAG
RNAcentral lists this ribosomal RNA (120 nucleotides) under uncultured bacterium. RNAcentral describes it as "partial 16S ribosomal RNA". It matches the Rfam family "Bacterial small subunit ribosomal RNA", at positions 215 to 334 of the family's 1533-position model. The record is from RNAcentral.